GAUGAACGCUGGCGGCGUGCCAAAUACAUGCAAGUCGAGCGAACGGACGAGAAGCUUGCUUCUCUGAUGUUAACGGCGGACGGGUGAGUAACACGUGGAUAACCUACCUAUAAGACUGGGAUAACUUCGGGAAACCGGAGCUAAUACCGGAUAAUAUUUUGAACCGCAUGGUUCAAAAGUGAAAGACGGUCUUGCUGUCACUUAUAGAUGGAUCCGCGCUGCAUUAGCUAGUUGGUAAGGUAACGGCUUACCAAGGCAACGAUGCAUAGCCGACCUGAGAGGGUGAUCGGCCACACUGGAACUGAGACACGGUCCAGACUCCUACGGGAGGCAGCAGUAGGGAAUCUUCCGCAAUGGGCGAAAGCCUGACGGAGCAACGCCGCGUGAGUGAUGAAGGUCUUCGGAUCGUAAAACUCUGUUAUUAGGGAAGAACAUAUGUGUAAGUAACUGUGCACAUCUUGACGGUACCUAAUCAGAAAGCCACGGCUAACUACGUG
This 497-nucleotide ribosomal RNA is filed under the name uncultured bacterium. RNAcentral describes it as "partial 16S ribosomal RNA". It matches the Rfam family "Bacterial small subunit ribosomal RNA", at positions 28 to 507 of the family's 1533-position model. The record is from RNAcentral.